Molecule: ribosomal RNA, 428 nt
Filed under: Bacteroidota bacterium
Lineage: Bacteria; Pseudomonadati; Bacteroidota
Description: Bacteroidetes bacterium partial 16S ribosomal RNA
Rfam family: Bacterial small subunit ribosomal RNA
Source: RNAcentral
UAGGGAAUCUUCCGCAAUGGACGCAAGUCUGACGGAGCAACGCCGCGUGAGUGAAGAAGGAUUUCGGUUCGUAAAACUCUGUUGUUAGAGAAGAACAGCGCAUAGAGUAACUGUUAUGAGUGUGACGGUAUCUAACCAGAAAGCCACGGCUAACUACGUGCCAGCAGCCGCGGUAAUACGUAGGUCCCGAGCGUUGUCCGGAUUUAUUGGGCGUAAAGCGAGCGCAGGCGGUUAGAUAAGUCUGAAGUUAAAGGCAGUGGCUCAACCAUUGUAGGCUUUGGAAACUGUUUAACUUGAGUGCAGAAGGGGAGAGUGGAAUUCCAUGUGUAGCGGUGAAAUGCGUAGAUAUAUGGAGGAACACCGGUGGCGAAAGCGGCUCUCUGGUCUGUAACUGACGCUGAGGCUCGAAAGCGUGGGUAGCAAACAGG